CGGUACCCUCGUCGAGCCAGUCGAACUCCACCUCGUGGGGCAGGGAACCCGGUGCGAAUCCGGGGCUGACGCGCAGCGGUGAGGGUGACGGGCGGGCACGCCCCGGGGACGCGGUUCCCCGGGACAGCCACUGGAGCGCACGCUCCGGGAAGGCGCUCCGCACCGGUCGAUCCCGAGUCCGAAGACCUGCUGGCGCUGGCGGUGACGG
This 208-nucleotide non-coding RNA is filed under the name Nocardiopsis dassonvillei. Lineage: Bacteria; Bacillati; Actinomycetota; Actinomycetes; Streptosporangiales; Nocardiopsidaceae. The record is from RNAcentral.